UCAGGAUGAACGCUAGCUACAGGCUAACACAUGCAAGUCGAGGGGCAGCAUUGGAGUAGCAAUACUCAGAUGGCGACCGGCGCACGGGUGAGUAACACGUAUCCAACCUGCCGCUUACUCGGGGAUAGCCUUUCGAAAGAAAGAUUAAUACCCGAUGGUAUAAAGAGUUCGCAUGUUCUCUUUAUUAAAGAAUUUCGGUAAGCGAUGGGGAUACGUUCCAUUAGAUAGUUGGCGGGGUAACGGCCCACCAAGUCUACGAUGGAUAGGGGUUCUGAGAGGAAGGUCCCCCCACAUUGGAACUGAGACACGGUCCAAACUCCUACGGGAGGCAGCAGUGAGGAAUAUUGGUCAAUGGACGAGAGUCUGAACCAGCCCAAGUAGCGUGAAGGAUGACUGCCCUAUGGGUUGUAAACUUCUUUUAUAAGGGAAUAAAGUGAGGGACGUGUCCCUUUUUGUAUGUACCUUAUGAAUAAGGAUCGGCUAACUCCGUGCCAGCCGCGGC
RNAcentral lists this ribosomal RNA (502 nucleotides) under uncultured bacterium. RNAcentral describes it as "bacterial SSU rRNA". It matches the Rfam family "Bacterial small subunit ribosomal RNA", at positions 24 to 518 of the family's 1533-position model. The record is from RNAcentral.